GGGGGUGUAGCUCAGUCGGUUAGAGCAGGGGACUCAUAAUCCCUUUGUCGCGGGUUCGAGUCCUGCCACCCCUAC
This 75-nucleotide transfer RNA is filed under the name Novipirellula aureliae. RNAcentral's name for it is "Planctomycetes bacterium Q31b tRNA-Met". It matches the Rfam family "tRNA". From Rfam's summary of the family: Transfer RNA (tRNA) molecules are approximately 80 nucleotides in length. Their secondary structure includes four short double-helical elements and three loops (D, anti-codon, and T loops). RNAcentral also lists the same sequence under 1 other name. Lineage: Bacteria; Pseudomonadati; Planctomycetota; Planctomycetia; Pirellulales; Pirellulaceae. The record is from RNAcentral.